This 911-nucleotide ribosomal RNA is filed under the name Agriocnemis splendidissima. RNAcentral's name for it is "SSU rRNA". It matches the Rfam family "Eukaryotic small subunit ribosomal RNA", at positions 47 to 918 of the family's 1831-position model. Lineage: Eukaryota; Metazoa; Arthropoda; Insecta; Odonata; Coenagrionidae. The record is from RNAcentral.
AGCCAUGCAUGUCUCAGUACGAACCGCAUUAAGGCGAAACCGCGAAUGGCUCAUUAAAUCAGUUAUGGUUCCUUGGAUCUUACCCACACUUACAUGGAUAACUGUGGUAAUUCUAGAGCUAAUACAUGAACCUCGUGCCCCGACCAGUGAUGGGAGGGGUGCUUUUAUUAGAACAAAACCAAUCGGGCGAUUCGUCGUCCGUUGCCUUGGUGACUCUGAAUAACUUUCCGCUGAUCGCACGGUCCUGGCACCGGCGACGCAUCUUUCAAAUGUCUGCCUUAUCAACUUUCGAUGGUAGGUUCUGCGCCUACCAUGGUUGUAACGGGUGACGGGGAAUCAGGGUUCGAUCCCGGAGAGGGAGCCUGAGAAACGGCUACCACAUCCAAGGAAGGCAGCAGGCGCGCAAAUUACCCACUCCCGGAACGGGGAGGUAGUGACGAAAAAUAACGAUACGGGACUCAUCCGAGGCCCCGUAAUCGGAAUGAGAACACUUUAAAUCCUUUAACGAGGAUCUAUUGGAGGGCAAGUCUGGUGCCAGCAGCCGCGGUAAUUCCAGCUCCAAUAGCGUAUAUUAAAGUUGUUGCGGUUAAAAAGCUCGUAGUCGGAGGUGUGUCUCGGACGGGUCGGUUCGCCGCUUGUCGGUGCUCAACUGGCCGGUCCGGACGUCCUGCCGGUGGGGCCGCGAGGCCCCGUCAUCCUUCUUUGGUCCUCUUCACCGAGUGCCUUGGUGGGCCGGCACGUUUACUUUGAACAAAUUAGAGUGCUCAAAGCAGGCCGUUGGUCGCCUGAAUACUGUGUGCAUGGAAUAAUGGAAUAGGACCUCGGUUCCAUUUUGUUGGUUUUCAGAACUCGAGGUAAUGAUUAAUAGGGACGGACGGGGGCAUUCGUAUUGCGACGUUAGAGGUGAAAUU